Molecule: ribosomal RNA, 773 nt
Filed under: uncultured Streptococcus sp.
Lineage: Bacteria; Bacillati; Bacillota; Bacilli; Lactobacillales; Streptococcaceae
Description: bacterial SSU rRNA
Rfam family: Bacterial small subunit ribosomal RNA
Source: RNAcentral
GACGAACGCUGGCGGCGUGCCUAAUACAUGCAAGUAGAACGCACAGUAUAUACCGUAGCUUGCUACACCAUAGACUGCGAGUUGCGAACGGGUGAGUAACGCGUAGGUAACCUGCCUGGUAGCGGGGGAUAACUAUUGGAAACGAUAGCUAAUACCGCAUAAUAUUAAUUAUUGCAUGAUAAUUGAUUGAAAGAUGCAACUGCAUCACUACCAGAUGGACCUGCGUUGUAUUAGCUAGUAGGUGAGGUAACGGCUCACCUAGGCGACGAUACAUAGCCGACCUGAGAGGGUGAUCGGCCACACUGGGACUGAGACACGGCCCAGACUCCUACGGGAGGCAGCAGUAGGGAAUCUUCGGCAAUGGACGAAAGUCUGACCGAGCAACGCCGCGUGAGUGAAGAAGGUUUUCGGAUCGUAAAGCUCUGUUGUAAGAGAAGAACGGGUGUGAGAGUGGAAAGUUCACACUGUGACGGUAUCUUACCAGAAAGGGACGGCUAACUACGUGCCAGCAGCCGCGGUAAUACGUAGGUCCCGAGCGUUGUCCGGAUUUAUUGGGCGUAAAGCGAGCGCAGGCGGUUAGAUAAGUCUGAAGUUAAAGGCUGUGGCUUAACCAUAGUACGCUUUGGAAACUGUUUAACUUGAGUGCAGAAGGGGAGAGUGGAAUUCCAUGUGUAGCGGUGAAAUGCGUAGAUAUAUGGAGGAACACCGGUGGCGAAAGCGGCUCUCUGGUCUGUAACUGACGCUGAGGCUCGAAAGCGUGGGGAGCGAACAGG